Molecule: ribosomal RNA, 254 nt
Filed under: uncultured bacterium
Lineage: Bacteria
Description: partial 16S ribosomal RNA
Rfam family: Bacterial small subunit ribosomal RNA
Source: RNAcentral
GACGUAGGGUGCAAGCGUUGUCCGGAUUUACUGGGCGUAAAGAGCGCGUAGGCGGUCUGUUAAGUGUGAAGUGAAAUCUCCAGAGCUCAACUCGGAAACUGCUUCGCAUACUGGCAGGCUGGAGGAAUGGAGAGGUGAGUGGAAUUCCUGGUGUACCGGUGAAAUGGGUUGAUAUCAGGAGGAACACCGAUGGCGAAGGCAGCUCACUGGCCAUUAUCUGACGCUGAGGAGCGAAAGCGUGGGGAGCGAACAGG